AGAAAAGCCAGGGAGUAAGCAGGCUGAGGUGAACAGAGAAGCCGCAGCUUUCAACUCCUCCCAACUUCCUUUUCUCCCUGCAGAAGCUAGAGGACCAACUCGAGACAGCAGUGAGGACGUGACUGCUGCAGCUUUACAGCCAGGGGCACCUAGAGGCAGCCAGAGGCAGAGCCCCGGCCUAUGCCAGGAGAAUACCGACUGAGGGCAUGGAUCCACAUGGGGCCCUUUUCUUCUGCCUGUGCCUUCUGGCUGCUCAAGUUGUCCUAGUAGAAACCGUGUCGGAUCUACUGAACUUGAUGAAGCACCUUGAGCAGCCCAAAGGCCGGGGCUUGUCUUCCAGAGCGAGGUAUAUCCACCGCCUGGAGCAGAUGUUGCUCAAUGUCAGCUUCAGUGGACACAACCUGACCUUGCAGACAAACUCCAUCCAGUCUCUGGUCUUCAAGCUGAGCUGUGACUUUCCUGGUCUCUCCCUGUCCAGCGCCACACUGACAAAUGUCUCCCAGGCAUGGGCCCCGCAUGCCAUGCAGUUCCCUGCUGAGCUGACCAAGGCUGCCUGUGUGACCUCCCAGCCUGCAGAGCUUCGACUCAUCUGUAUCUAUUUCUUCACUGCACACCUCUUUCAGGAUGACCGGAACUCAUCACUGCUCAAUAACUAUGUCCUGGGGGCGCAGCUGGAUCACAGGCCUGUGAACAACCUUCAGAAGCCAGUCAACAUCAGCUUCUGGCACAAUCAGAGUCUGGAAGGGUACACAGUAUCCUGUGUCUUCUGGAAAGAGGGAGCCAGCAAGCACAGCUGGGGGGCCUGGAGCCCCGAAGGCUGUUAUACCGAGCAACCCUCAGCCACUCAGGUUCUCUGUCAUUGCAACCACCUCACCUACUUCGCUGUGCUCAUGCAGCUCUCUGGAGACCCGGUGCCCACUGAGUUGCAGGGGCCUCUUGAGUACAUCUCCCUGGUGGGUUGCAGCAUCUCCGUUGUGGCCUCACUGCUCACCAUACUGCUGUAUGCUCACUCUAGGAAGCAAAGCGAUUCCACCACACGCAUCCACAUGAACUUGCAUGGCUCCGUUCUGCUCCUGAAUGUCACCUUCCUUCUGAGCUCCCAGAUGGCCCUGCCCACAGUGCCCAGGCCAGUCUGCAUGGUGCUGGCUGCCACUCUACACUACACACUGCUCAGCAGCCUUACCUGGAUGGCCAUCGAAGGCUUCAACCUCUACCUUCUCCUGGGGCGUGUCUACAACGCCUACAUCCACCGAUACUUGCUCAAGCUCUGCAUGCUGGGCUGGGGGUUUCCAGCGCUCUUGGUGCUGCUGCUUCUGGUGGUCAAGAGCUCGGUGUAUGGACCCUGGGUGAUCUCAUUCUCCAAAAGCCAGGAAAAUGCUACAGGCUUCCAGAAUGUGUCCAUGUGCUGGGUCCGAAGUCCCACGAUACACAGCAUUCUGGUCAUGGGCUAUGGUGGCCUCACAUCUCUGUUCAACCUGGUGGUGCUGGCCUGGGCUCUGUGGAUCUUGUGCAGGCUCCGGGCACGGGAGAAGGCACUGAAUCCCUGGGCCUACCGGGACACUGUCAUGGUGUUGGGCCUCACUGUGCUGCUGGGCACCACCUGGGCCCUGGCCUUCUUCUCCUUCAGUGUGUUCCUGCUGCCUCAGCUCUUCCUCUUCACCAUCUUCAACUCGCUCUACGGUUUCUUCCUCUUCCUGUGGUUCUGCUCACAGAAGCGUUACUCAGAUGCUGAAGCCAAGGCAGGGAUGGAGGCAGUCAGCUCCUCCCAGAUGACACACUAACCCAGCUCCCACCCUGCAGCCCCAGCUCUCACUACUUCCAGCAGCCCAUGGCCUUGGCUCAUCCAGGGAAGGUGGGUAGGCUGGCAUCAGGACAACAGAGUCUACCAUACCCUUCGGGGACCCUUUCCACCUCUCGGAAUUACCUGGGGCAGAUGGAAGCUUGUGACUCUUCAUCCUGGUCCUUCAUGUCUGGAUGCAGCUCCAUUGGCAAGGCUAUGGACAGAGCCCUGGCUUGGAAGUCAGGGAGCUACACUAGACUGGACCCCAACUUGCACCCUGCUCAGCACUUACAGACACUUACAGGAUUGUGGCCGAUGCUUGGGGCCACUCUUUCUUUUACCAGUCCCAGGUGUUGGUGACUUCAACUUUCUAUCUUUCCAACAGUCAGGAAACCCAGCCCUUCCUCCUCAUUCUAACCCCCACAGAUGGUAUAGACCAACAGCCAAGGCCAGGCCUCUGUCUCUUUCCCUGAAGCUGAGCCAGCUGGGCUUGAGGGGUCUAGAUCCUAGACUAUUAUUGCUUAGACGCGUGUGUUCAACAUUUACAAACUCUCUGCCCAUAGUGGGAGAACAUCUGCGCUGCCUGUCAGAUCAGGUGGGAGUAAAGACCAGGUGCUUAUUAAGUCGGUGCUAUUCCCAGGAUGGACAGAAGGGGGCGGUGUUGGCCCAUACGCCAAGGCAUGGUGCCAAAACUGCUCCUGGAAAUGCAGAUGUUACCUUUCAACCAGUAGGCAAGUAGGGACCUCCACACAUCCAUUGUCUCUUUCCCUAUGCAGAUGACCAAGGUGGCUUUUGGGACUUUGUGCCAGGCUUUGUGCUCAGGCAUUCCUGGCAUCAGGGCAGCUGGUUGGGUAGAUUCUCAGGUCCCGUGCGAGCCGUUAGACACAUGUACUUGAACAGUAAGGAGAUCGGAGCUGGACACCAUCCUCUGCAGAGGGUCCUCUUUCUUUCCGGGUGUUUCUGGGUAAUUACGUUCUUAGCUCUUCACUAGCUAGAGAGAGGUACAGGUUCUGGGCCAGGUUGCCUGGGCUCAGAUUCCAGCUCUGUGCCUUAGUUUGCCCAUCUACAGCAGGGACAACAGUAGUAACUCUUAGGAAGGUUCAGUAAAAGAAAGGAUCCACUCAGGUCUUGCCACAGUGAGGUCUCAAUAGAUGGUUACUGUGUCAGUAUAUUUGUAUUUGUAUUAUUAUUUGUGUGUGCAUGCGUGUGUGGUGUAUGUGCACCUAUGUGCCCUUGCACGUGUAUACUGAAGCCAGAGAAGGCUGUUGGGUGUCCUGUUCUAUGACUUUUUGUCUUAUUCCCUCAAGACAGGGAUUCUCACCAAACAGGGAGCCAGGCUGACAGCAAGCAACCCCAGUAACCUAGUAACCUAGUAACCUAGUAUCAGGAGCUUAUUUUCGCCACCUGCAGGACACCCUUCUCCCCCACCCCUCCCUCCCACACCAGUGCUAGGAUUACAGGCUCCUUUGACCGGACUUGGCUUUUUACUUAGGUGCUGGGGUCUGAGCUCAGGGCCUCAUGUUUGUGCACAAAAGCUUUUAUGUAUUGACCAUCUCUUCAGCCCCCAUUAUUGUUAACAGCUUUAACUGAUGCAAGCUGUUCAGGUGCUGUUGGACCCCACAGCUCCUUCUUAGGCAUAUCCUUCCAUUCCUGUUUUGUGGCUCCCCUCUCCCACUCUUCUUGGAGGAGAACCUUGCUCAGACCUUCUGGUCCCUACUGAACCGCUGAUGUUCCUUACACAGUGCGGCUUCAGGUUAGCCCACAUCUCCACUCCCAGGUCCUGAGUCCUCCAUUGGUCCAUUUAUCAUAUCCUUCAUGAAUCCUCCUCCAUUUGCCCACAGGGAAGGCCUCAUUCCCACUCUGGUUCCAGGCAGUAUCCUUCACCAGAUCCCCAUGGUUAUUCCAUCAUGGGGAUCUUUGGUCUGGGUCUCCAUGCUAAUGAGGGUGCUGUGGGAUCAUGGGACUUGAGACAACUGGGUAGAUGGGAAGGCUCAGGUGUAGCAGGGCCUUGCUCAAGUUCAGGGCCUGGCCUCUCAGAGCAAGUAAGCCCAGGGCCACACAAUGGAGGGUGUGGCCACAGUGACAGUCCUAAGUCUGUGGCUCUGAGCCCCACUGGGGAUCCAGGCUGUGGGGUAGCCCUUCAUUUGCUAAGGAUAUAUAAAUGAACAAGUCAUCACAUUCUUGUGUGGGGGCGUCCUACAAGAAGCAGUUUAGCAAACGGAUAUAAAAUAUGACAGCUGGUACCAUGGACUGUGAAGAAACAUAAGAAGCAUGUGAGCCACCAUGAGGGGCAGUCCACAGAGAGGAAAAGGAGACGACAGAACAGACACCAAGAGGCCUCAGAUGUUUAAAAGAAUAAAAGCUGCAAUGACAUGAUAUGUAUAUAACCAAAUGAAGGGAAGAGCCAGGAGUUGCUUAUAAGGCGAGGAGAGACAUGACAUGAAAUGUGGGAAGAGAAACAGAGGCAUGGAGAGCAGAAUCAGAAAAGUCUCAACGAUGAAAUCCCGAGAGAAGAAACUAAAAGCAAUGAGACAGUCACAGCAGUUACAGGUUUUCUCAAAGCAGGCCCACAGGACCAGGAGCAUGGCGCUUCUCAGGGAGGAUGCUGGAACAUGGACCUGCACUUUGCCCCUCUGAGGGAAACUUCAGAUGUAGAGAAGUGAGGGGAACGGUCACAGAGAAAGGACAGGACGGAGAAAGGACAGUGUGCACCACGAGCUCCUCCAUUGUAGCCACAAUGAUAGGCUUCGAGACCACUGUAGGGUCCCCAAAGGGAGGGGAACAAAGACAUGUCGGUCAGAAUUGCCUGCAGCACACAGCCUUUCAUACACUAAGACACAAAGGAAAAUAUGUUCCUUUUAACAUUGAAAGGUAAAUAAAAGCUGACAGCAA
Molecule: RNA transcript, 4672 nt
Organism: Mastomys coucha (southern multimammate mouse)
Lineage: Eukaryota; Metazoa; Chordata; Mammalia; Rodentia; Muridae
Gene: Adgrg5
Gene name: adhesion G protein-coupled receptor G5
Exons: 16
Source: RefSeq, a predicted model, not a curated record